CCUACGGGAGGCAGCAGUAAGGGAUAUUGGUCAAUGGGGGAAACCCUGAACCAGCAACGCCGCGUGAGGGAAGACGGUUUUCGGAUUGUAAACCUCUGUCCUCUGUGAAGAGGAUGACGGUAGCAGAGGAGGAAGCUCCGGCUAACUACGUGCCAGCAGCCGCGGUAAUACGUAGGGAGCGAGCGUUGUCCGGAAUUACUGGGGGUAAAGGGAGCGUAGGCGGGACGGCAAGUCAGAUGUGAAAACUGAGGGCUCAACUUUCAGACUGCAUUUGAAACUGCUGUUCUUGAGUGAAGUAGAGGUAAGCGGAAUUCCUAGUGUAGCGGUGAAAUGCGUAGAUAUUAGGAGGAACAUCGGUGGCGAAGGCGGCUUACUGGGCUUUUACUGACGCUGAGGCUCGAAAGCGUGGGGAGCAAACAGGAUUAGAUACCCCUGUAGUC
Molecule: ribosomal RNA, 440 nt
Filed under: uncultured bacterium
Lineage: Bacteria
Description: partial 16S ribosomal RNA
Rfam family: Bacterial small subunit ribosomal RNA
Source: RNAcentral